AGUGAACGCUGGCGGCAGGCCUAACACAUGCAAGUCGAGCGGAAGAAGAGAGCUUGCUCCUGGAUUCAGCGGCGGACGGGUGAGUAAGGCAUAUGAAUCUGCCUGGCAGCUUUGUAUAACGUGCUGAAACAGGCGCUAAUACCCCAUACGUCCAGAGGGAGAAAGUGGGGGAGCUUCGGACCUCACGCUAUCAGAUGAGCCUAUGUCGGAUUAGCUAGUUGGUGGGGUAAAGGCCUACCAAGGCGACGAUCCGUAGCUGGUAUGAGAGGAUGAUCAGUCACACUGGAACUGAGACACGGUCCAGACUCCUACGGGAGGCAGCAGUGGGGAAUAUUGGACAAUGGGCGCAAGCCUGAUCCAGCCAUGCCGCGUGUGUGAAGAAGGUCUUCGGGUUGUAAAGCCCUUUUGGUUGGAAGGAAGAGCAGUAAGUUAAUACCUUGCUGUUUUGACGGUACCAACAGAAUAAGCACCGGCUAACUUCGUG
This 484-nucleotide ribosomal RNA is filed under the name uncultured bacterium. RNAcentral's name for it is "partial 16S ribosomal RNA". It matches the Rfam family "Bacterial small subunit ribosomal RNA", at positions 29 to 507 of the family's 1533-position model. The record is from RNAcentral.